Molecule: ribosomal RNA, 301 nt
Filed under: uncultured bacterium
Lineage: Bacteria
Description: partial 16S ribosomal RNA
Rfam family: Bacterial small subunit ribosomal RNA
Source: RNAcentral
CAGUAGCCGCGGUAAUACGUAGGUGGCAAGCGUUGUCCGGAAUUAUUGGGCGUAAAGGGCUCGCAGGCGGUUUCUUAAGUCUGAUGUGAAAGCCCCCGGCUCAACCGGGGAGGGUCAUUGGAAACUGGGAAACUUGAGUGCAGAAGAGGAGAGUGGAAUUCCACGUGUAGCGGUGAAAUGCGUAGAGAUGUGGAGGAACACCAGUGGCGAAGGCGACUCUCUGGUCUGUAACUGACGCUGAGGAGCGGAAGCGUGGGGAGCGAACAGGAUUAGAUACCCGCGUAGUCCCUGUCUCUUAUAC